Molecule: ribosomal RNA, 322 nt
Filed under: uncultured eukaryote
Lineage: Eukaryota
Description: partial 18S ribosomal RNA
Rfam family: Eukaryotic small subunit ribosomal RNA
Source: RNAcentral
CCCUUAGAUGUUCUGGGCCGCACGCGUGCUACACUGAGUGGAUCAGCGGGUCAGGUUGCGCGAAAGUGUUUCCUAAUCUUUAAAUCCGCUCGUGAUGGGGAUUGACGGUUGCAAUUUUCCGUCAUGAACGAGGAAUACCUUGUAAGCGCGGGUCAUCAUCCCGCGCUGAAUACGUCCCUGCCCUUUGUACACACCGCCCGUCGCUCCUACCGAUUGAGUGGUCCGGUGAGGCUUUGGGAUCUGAGCGGAAGGAGCGUUUCGCUGUUUCUGCCCGGAAAACUCAGUCGAACCUUAUCAUUUAGAGGAAGGAGAAGCCGUAACA